UGGUGGUUGAUUUUCUAUACUGUUUAAGUGUUGGUUGUUGAUUGUGUAUACUGUUCAUGUGUUGGUGGUUGAUUUUGUAUACUGUUCAUGUGUUUGUGGUUGAUUUUGUAUACUGUUUAAGUGUUGGUGGUUGAUUUUAUAUACUGUGUAUGUGUUGGUGGUUGAUUGUGUAUACUGUUCAUGUGUUGGUGGUUGAUUUUGUAUACUGUUUAAGUGUUGGUGGUUGAUUUUAUAUACUGUGUAUGUGUUGGUGGUUAAUUUUAUAUACUGUGUAUGGGUUGAUGGUUGAUUUUGUAUAUUGUUUAUGGGUUGGUGGUUGAUUUUCUAUACUGUUUAAGUGUUGGUGGUUGAUUUUAUAUACUGUGUAUGUAAUGGUGGGUGAUUUUGUAUACGGUUUAUGUGUUGAUGGUUGAUUGUGUAUACUGUUCAUGUGUUGGUGGUUGAUUGUGUAUACUGUUUAUGUGUUGGUGGUUGAUUUUGUAUACUGUUUAUGUGUUGGUGGUUGAUUUUGUAUAUUGUUUAUGGGUUGGUGGUUGAUUUUGUAUAUUGUUUAUGGGUAGGUGGUUGAUUUUGUAUACUGUUUAAGUGUUGGUUGUUGAUUGUGUAUACUGUUUAUGUGUUGGUGGUUGAUUGUGUAUACUGUUCAUAUGUUGGUGGUUUAUUUUGUAUACUGUUUAUGGGUUGGUGGUUGAUUUUAUAUAGUGUUUAUGUGUUGGUGGUUGAUUUUGUAUACUGUUUAUGGGUUGGUGGUUGAUUUUGUAUAUUGUUUAUGUGUUGGUGGUUGAUUUUGUAUAUUGUUUAUGGGUUGGUGGUUGAUUUUUUAUACUGUUUAUGUGUUGGUUGUUGAUUUUGUAAACUGUUUAUGUGUUCGUGGUUAAAUUGGAUAUACUGUUCAACUGUUGGUGGUUGAUUGUGUAUACUGUAUAUGUGUUGUUGGUUAAUUUGAUAUACUGUGUUGGUGUUGGUGGUUGAUUGUGUAUACUGUAUAUGUGUUGGUGGUUAAUUUUGUAUACUGUUUAUGUGUUGGUUGUGGAUUUAAUAUACUGUGUAUGUGUUGUAUUUUUUUCUUUUCGUUUUCCUCUUUUCAAAUUGACAUCAUGUUGAUAUUGAACACUACGAAAGAAAUCUAAAAUGGGAAAUCACUUUUCGAGUCAACAGGUGUUUAUAAGUGUUAAAAUCCAAAAAUCUAUUAAAAAGAAAAACAA
This 1205-nucleotide long non-coding RNA is filed under the name Mytilus galloprovincialis (Mediterranean mussel). Lineage: Eukaryota; Metazoa; Mollusca; Bivalvia; Mytilida; Mytilidae. The record is from RNAcentral.